UCUUUACUCAUGAUUUCCACUGCAGGGUUUUACCCCUUGAAAUCAACAUUCAACAACGUCUGAAGGUGGUGGGGGAAAAGCUACUGAUCGAGGGUUCCCGAAAAUCCUACAGAAGAAGUAUUGAUCAUGGUGAUUGCUUCCGGUGUGUUUCCCUCCACUAUAAUCUUUCUAAUUCCUAAAUUCCAUAGCUCCCCAAAAGCUCUGCAUGUAGGGGUGUGCAAUCCCCAAUAUGAUACCAAUAGCCCCCCAACCAAUUUCCGGAAGGAUGCCUCCACAGCCAGCACUAUUAGUGUUGUUUUGUAUUUAUGAAUAACUAAUACAGGGUGAUCAUUAUUUCUCCAAGACCAGAGGAACCAACUCCAGACAAAAAAGAUGGAAAUGGGAUCAUACCCGUCAAGGAAUGACCAAUUUCUAAUCAGGCAGGCAGGCAGGACUUGAGCCAGUCUGAAUCUUGAAGAAGGACACCAUUGGCAGUUAGCACUUCCUCCAGUCCAGAUGGUUUAUAUGCGAGCUCUGGUAGGCAACCGAUUAAGUAGCACUAACCAGAUGAAAGUCUUUAUUCUUUGUGGGGCCCCUUCCACUUCCACAAAAGACUCCAGAUGUUAUCCGAGGCUUUCGUGUCUCUGCCUCACGGAGGCUUUUAAUUUCAACAAAAGAGCUCAAACUGGUUCUAAAUCAGACAGCAUUCUCUUUCUCGAAAAAGCUCUUUUGUGCUGCAAUGAACCCACUCGCUGAAACUCCUCAUCGCUGAGUUCAUCGUAGCAAUUACUUGGCAGAAGCGGAGAAGGGUAGACUUCCGAAGCUCGGCCAAAUUGGGUGAGGAGGGCGAUGGAGAGGACCAAACCCAGGACGAACAUAGGGCCAAUCCCACUUUUGCUAAAGAUUUAUGAGAGGAGGAGGAUUGUGACAAUGGAGAUGAAGAGGGCUUUCAUUGAUCUUUUCAUUUUCAGAACUCUAUCAUGUGCUGCUACGAUGGAGCUUUUGAUUGGGGUGAAAGACAGUGGAAGGAGGAGCACUAGCGCAACCAGAAAAUUCAAUCACAUGGUUAACCUUUUUAUCUUUUGAAAGUGCAUGCAAACGUUCAUGAUGAGCAUAAGCAUGAGUCCAUUAAUAAAUGCUUCACAAGAUUUACAAGCAUCAUACAAUCCCAAGAAGUGUUUUGCGAGAUUCCAACAGCCUAUUCAUUUGUUGCGCUAGUGCUUCUCCUUCCACCGUCUGCCACCCCCAGUCAAAAGCUCCACUAUAGCAGCACAUGACAGUUCUGAAAAUUAAAAGAUCAAUGAAAGCCCACUUCAUCUUCAUUGUCACAGUCCCACUCCUCUAAUGGAUCUUUAGCAAUUGUGGGAGUGGCCUUAUGUUCGUCUUGGAUUUGGUUGUCUCCAUCGCCCUCCUCACCAAGUUCGGUAGAGCUUUGGAAGCCUACCCUCGUCUGCCUCUACCAAGUAAUUGUUAUGAUGAACUCAGCGAUAGAAGUUUCAGUGGGUUGUUGAAGUAUUCAUUGCACAGCACAGAAGAACUUUUUCAAGAAAGAGAAUGCUCACAUGAUACGGGCUUUUGGGGAGUUAGUUUAAGACAAGUGUCUUUUAGUUCAAAUUGAUCGACAUGUUUUAUGAAUAAUAAUUUUAGUUGCUGGCAUGUGUCACUUCUCUUGUUUGGUUGAAGAUUGUUCUGAAGUCAAGUAGUAUUAUUAUUUUGCAAUCACAGCCUUCGCAAUAUUAAUUAUAUGAGUGUUGUUCUG
Gastrolobium bilobum is the source of this 1738-nucleotide long non-coding RNA. RefSeq lists it as uncharacterized. NCBI's taxonomy places the organism in Eukaryota, Viridiplantae, Streptophyta, Magnoliopsida, Fabales, Fabaceae. The transcript has 5 exons. The record is from RefSeq and is a predicted model, not a curated record.